Molecule: transfer RNA, 85 nt
Filed under: Escherichia coli
Lineage: Bacteria; Pseudomonadati; Pseudomonadota; Gammaproteobacteria; Enterobacterales; Enterobacteriaceae
Description: tRNA-Gly
Rfam family: tRNA (bases 11-82)
About the family: Transfer RNA (tRNA) molecules are approximately 80 nucleotides in length. Their secondary structure includes four short double-helical elements and three loops (D, anti-codon, and T loops).
Source: RNAcentral
GUUCCAGGAUGCGGGCAUCGUAUAAUGGCUAUUACCUCAGCCUCCUAAGCUGAUGAUGCGGGUUCGAUUCCCGCUGCCCGCUCCA